This is a non-coding RNA of Paramuricea clavata, 235 nucleotides long. The record is from the annotation of a GenBank genome assembly. Lineage: Eukaryota; Metazoa; Cnidaria; Anthozoa; Malacalcyonacea; Plexauridae.
CAUAGCUUGUAUGCUGAUAUAUGUGACUCUGGUUUUUUAAAACUACCUAGUGGAAGAACUUUGUCAGACUACAAGAACUUUUCAAGCUCAAAAUGAGGAUGGCAAUCUUCAGUCCUUGAUGCAAUGAGAAACAACUUCAAGGAGCAGGGGUUUUCUGGUGUUGCAAAGUUGGGUGGUUUGUUUUUUGAUGAGGUUAAGAUCAAAGAAGGCUUAUUAUUUGACCCAUCAUCCUGGG